Molecule: small nucleolar RNA, 144 nt
Organism: Drosophila albomicans
Lineage: Eukaryota; Metazoa; Arthropoda; Insecta; Diptera; Drosophilidae
Product: small nucleolar RNA psi28S-1192
Exons: 1
Source: RefSeq, a predicted model, not a curated record
UUUAUGUCCAGUCUAAUUCUGCGUCAUGACACUGGAUAUUGAUGCAGACUCGCUUUUGGACGAUAGUAAUUAAUCAACUCUUUUAUUAUCCUUGUGCUGGAUGCUAACCUCAUCUGUGCACACGAGAAACGUAAAAGAACAAAU